UUGCGGUUAAAAAGCUCGUAGUUGGAUCUCGGCGGGCAGGGGGUGGUUCGCUCUUCAGCGCUACUGCCCCGCUUUGCCCGUGUGAUUGGCGGAGGUUUCGGGGUGCUCUUCGUUGAGUGACUCGGAGCGCCGUCAGGUUUACUUUGAAAAAUUUAGAGUGCUCAAAGCAGGCUUUUCACGCUUGAAUAUUCGUGCAUGGAAUAAUGGAAUAGGAACUCGUUUCUAUUUUGUUGGUUUUCGGAAAUCGAGUUAAUGAUUAACAGGGACAAUUGGGGGCAUUAGUAUUCAGACGACAGAGGUGAAAUUCUUGGACCGUCUGAAGACUGACUACUGCGAAAGCAUUUGCCAAGAGUGUUUUCAUUAAUCAAGAACGAAAGUUAGAGGUUCGAAGGCGAUCAGAUACCGCCCUAGUUCUAACCAUAAACGAUGCCAGCUAGCGAUCUGCCGAGUUUUUUUUGUAGGCUCCGCAGGAAGCUUUCGGGAAACCAAAGCUUUUUGGGUUCCGGGGGAAGUAUGGUUGCAAAGCUGAAACUUAAAGGAAUUGACCGAAGGGCACCACCAGGAGUGGAGCCUGCGGCU
This 579-nucleotide ribosomal RNA is filed under the name uncultured eukaryote. RNAcentral describes it as "SSU rRNA". It matches the Rfam family "Eukaryotic small subunit ribosomal RNA", at positions 613 to 1190 of the family's 1831-position model. The record is from RNAcentral.